This 468-nucleotide ribosomal RNA is filed under the name uncultured bacterium. Its description in RNAcentral is "partial 16S ribosomal RNA". It matches the Rfam family "Bacterial small subunit ribosomal RNA", at positions 28 to 507 of the family's 1533-position model. The record is from RNAcentral.
GACGAACGCUGGCGGCGUGCUUAACACAUGCAAGUCGAACGGAAAGGCCCUGCUUUUGUGGGGUGCUCGAGUGGCGAACGGGUGAGUAACACGUGAGUAACCUGCCCUUGACUUUGGGAUAACUUCAGGAAACUGGGGCUAAUACCGGAUAGGAGCUCCUGCUGCAUGGUGGGGGUUGGAAAGUUUCGGCGGUUGGGGAUGGACUCGCGGCUUAUCAGCUUGUUGGUGGGGUAGUGGCUUACCAAGGCUUUGACGGGUAGCCGGCCUGAGAGGGUGACCGGCCACAGUGGGACUGAGAUACGGCCCAGACUCCUACGGGAGGCAGCAGUGGGGAAUAUUGCACAAUGGGCGGAAGCCUGAUGCAGCAACGCCGCGUGCGGGAUGACGGCCUUCGGGUUGUAACCCGCUUUCGCCUGUGACGAAGCGUGAGUGACGGUAAUGGGUAAAGAAGCACCGGCUAACUACGUG